Molecule: ribosomal RNA, 301 nt
Filed under: uncultured bacterium
Lineage: Bacteria
Description: partial 16S ribosomal RNA
Rfam family: Bacterial small subunit ribosomal RNA
Source: RNAcentral
CAGCAGCCACGGUAAUACGUAGGGUGCAAGCGUUAAUCGGAAUUACUGGGCGUAAAGCGUGCGCAGGCGGUUAUAUAAGACAGAUGUGAAAUCCCCGGGCUCAACCUGGGAACUGCAUUUGUGACUGUAUAGCUAGAGUACGGCAGAGGGGGAUGGAAUUCCGCGUGUAGCAGUGAAAUGCGUAGAUAUGCGGAGGAACACCGAUGGCGAAGGCAAUCCCCUGGGCCUGUACUGACGCUCAUGCACGAAAGCGUGGGGAGCAAACAGGAUUAGAGACCCCAGUAGUCCCUGUCUCUUAUAC